AGCGAACGCUGGCGGCAGGCUUAACACAUGCAAGUCGAACGGGCAUAGCAAUAUGUCCGUGGCAGACGGGUGAGUAACGCGUGGUAACGUACCUUUUGGUUCGGAACGACACAGGGAAACUUGUGCUAAUACCGGAUAAGCCCUUACGGGGAAAGAUUUAUCGCCGAAAGAUCGGCCCGAGUCUGAUUAGCUAGUUGGUAGGGUAAUGGCCUACCAAGGCGACGAUCAGUAGCUGGUCUGAGAGGAUGAUCAGCCACAUUGGGACUGAGACACGGCCGAAAAUCUUACGGGAGGCAGCAGAGGGGAAUAUAGGAAAAUGGGCGAAAGCCUGAACCUGCCAGGACGGGUGAGUGAUGAAGGCCGUAGGGUUGUAAAGCUAUUUUGUGCGGGAAGAUAAUGACGGUACCGAAAGAAUAAGCCCCGGCUAACUUCGUG
RNAcentral lists this ribosomal RNA (435 nucleotides) under uncultured bacterium. RNAcentral describes it as "partial 16S ribosomal RNA". It matches the Rfam family "Bacterial small subunit ribosomal RNA", at positions 29 to 507 of the family's 1533-position model. The record is from RNAcentral.